This 116-nucleotide non-coding RNA is filed under the name Gorilla gorilla gorilla (western lowland gorilla). The record is from Rfam by way of RNAcentral. Lineage: Eukaryota; Metazoa; Chordata; Mammalia; Primates; Hominidae.
GCUGGGCAUGGUGGCUCAUGCCUGUAAUCCCAGCACUUUGGGAGGCUGAGAUGGGUGGAUCACCUGAGGUCAGGAGUUCAAGAGCAGCCUGGCCAACAUGGUGAAACCUGUCUCUA